UGGGGAAUAUUGCACAAUGGGCGCAAGCCUGAUGCAGCAACGCCGCGUGAGGGAUGACGGCCUUCGGGUUGUAAAACCUCUUUUAGUAGGGAAGAAGCGAAAGUGACGGUACCUGCAGAAAAAAGCACCGGCUAACUACGUGCCAGCAGCCGCGGUAAUACGUAGGGUGCGAGCGUUGUCCGGAAUUAUUGGGCGUAAAGAGCUCGUAGGCGGUCUGUCGCGUCUGCUGUGAAAACCCGAGGCUCAACCUCGGGCCUGCAGUGGGUACGGGCAGACUAGAGUGCGGUAGGGGAGAAUGGAAUUCCUGGUGUAGCGGUGGAAUGCGCAGAUAUCAGGAGGAACACCGAUGGCGAAGGCAGUUCUCUGGGCCGUAACUGACGCUGAGGAGCGAAAGCGUGGGGAGCGAACAGGAUUAGAUACCCUGGUAGUCCACGCCGUAAACGUUGGGCGCUAGAUGUGGGGACCAUUCCACGGUUUCCGUGUCGCAGCUAACGCAUUAAGCGCCCCGCCUGGGGAGUACGGCCGCAA
This 528-nucleotide ribosomal RNA is filed under the name uncultured bacterium. Its description in RNAcentral is "partial 16S ribosomal RNA". It matches the Rfam family "Bacterial small subunit ribosomal RNA", at positions 355 to 891 of the family's 1533-position model. The record is from RNAcentral.